This 301-nucleotide unclassified non-coding RNA is filed under the name Hevea brasiliensis (rubber tree). Lineage: Eukaryota; Viridiplantae; Streptophyta; Magnoliopsida; Malpighiales; Euphorbiaceae. The record is from RNAcentral.
GGAAGGUGCAAUAAAGAAAAAGAGGAGGCCAAGAAGAGGUGAAGAUUUCAAGUUCACUGAAGCUAUGGUUAAGGCAGAUUUCUGGCUUUUGUUUUUGGUUUAUUUUUUCGGUGUGGGUUCUGGCGUUACUGUUCUCAAUAAUCUGGCGCAAAUCGGAAUAGCUCAAGGGCUUCAUGAUACAAAGAUCCUGCUAUCACUCUUCAGCUUCUGCAACUUUGUUGGUCGUCUUGGUGGAGGAGUUAUUUCAGAAUAUUUUGUCAGGUUAAAAGCAGUGCCUAGAACAGUUUGGAUGACAUGUACG